GUGAUGUAAUGCCAGGAAGAAAGUGUGUCUUGCUGUUUGCUGGUUCCUGUUUUACUGUUUGCAGCCACCAUGAACUGCGGCCCAGCCAUGCCCGCCUGCCUUGGGGCCAACUGAGUGUGGACUGAAACCUCUGAAACUGAACAGGCCAGCAAGCCCGUCCCACUUGAGCAAAUGUGGAAAUGAAAGUACGGAGACUCAGGAAACCUUUCUUCAGAACAGUUUUCUCCGCCCGUUCUCCCCUGGCCCCAGCCAGCACACCCUCACCUGGCCUUGCUGGCUCUGGUGGUUUAAACCUGUAAUAAAGGCUGCCUUCAGAUCAA
Molecule: long non-coding RNA, 320 nt
Organism: Cavia porcellus (domestic guinea pig)
Lineage: Eukaryota; Metazoa; Chordata; Mammalia; Rodentia; Caviidae
Exons: 2
Source: RefSeq, a predicted model, not a curated record